This 21-nucleotide microRNA is filed under the name Picea abies (Norway spruce). RNAcentral's name for it is "pab-miR11496". The record is from miRBase by way of RNAcentral. Lineage: Eukaryota; Viridiplantae; Streptophyta; Pinopsida; Pinales; Pinaceae.
UAUAGCGCUCUGGUUCUCAUG